RNAcentral lists this ribosomal RNA (292 nucleotides) under uncultured bacterium. RNAcentral describes it as "partial 16S ribosomal RNA". It matches the Rfam family "Bacterial small subunit ribosomal RNA", at positions 505 to 796 of the family's 1533-position model. The record is from RNAcentral.
GUGCCAGCCGCCGCGGUAAGACAGAGGGUGCGAACGUUGCUCGGAAUCACUGGGCGUAAAGCGCGUGUAGGCGGCUUGUCACGUCGGAUGUGAAAGCCCGGGGCUCAACCCCGGAAGUGCAUCCGAAACGAAGAAGCUAGAGUACGAGAGAGGCAAGCGGAAUUCCCGGUGUAGAGGUGAAAUUCGUAGAUAUCGGGAGGAACACCAGUGGCGAAGGCGGCUUGCUGGCUCGUGACUGACGCUGAGACGCGAAAGCGUGGGGAGCAAACAGGAUUAGAUACCCCCGUAGUCC